CCUACGGGUGGCAGCAGUGGGGAAUAUUGGGCAAUGGACGCAAGUCUGACCCAGCAACGCCGCGUGAAGGAAGAAGGCUUUCGGGUUGUAAACUUCUUUUAAGGGGGAAGAGCAGAAGACGGUACCCCUUGAAUAAGCCACGGCUAACUACGUGCCAGCAGCCGCGGUAAUACGGAGGAUGCGAGCGUUAUCCGGAUUUAUUGGGUUUAAAGGGUGCGUAGGCGGAUCGUUAAGUCAGUGGUCAAAUUGAGGGGCUCAACCCCUUCCCGCCAUUGAAACUGGCGCUCUUGAGUGGAAGAGAAGUAUGCGGAAUGCGUGGUGUAGCGGUGAAAUGCAUAGAUAUCACGCAGAACCCCGAUUGCGAAGGCAGCAUGCCGGCUUCCGACUGACGCUGAAGCACGAAAGCGUGGGGAUCGAACAGGAUUAGAUACCCGGGUAGUC
Molecule: ribosomal RNA, 441 nt
Filed under: uncultured bacterium
Lineage: Bacteria
Description: partial 16S ribosomal RNA
Rfam family: Bacterial small subunit ribosomal RNA
Source: RNAcentral